Molecule: ribosomal RNA, 636 nt
Filed under: Aspergillus elegans
Lineage: Eukaryota; Fungi; Ascomycota; Eurotiomycetes; Eurotiales; Aspergillaceae
Description: eukaryotic LSU rRNA
Rfam family: Eukaryotic large subunit ribosomal RNA
Source: RNAcentral
UUGACCUCGGAUCAGGUAGGGAUACCCGCUGAACUUAAGCAUAUCAAUAAGCGGAGGAAAAGAAACCAACCGGGAUUGCCUCAGUAACGGCGAGUGAAGCGGCAAGAGCUCAAAUUUGAAAUCUGGCCCCCUCGGGGUCCGAGUUGUAAUUUGCAGAGGAUGCUUCGGGUGCGGCCCCCGUCUAAGUGCCCUGGAACGGGCCGUCAUAGAGGGUGAGAAUCCCGUCUGGGACGGGGUGUCCGCGUCCGUGUGAAGCUCCUUCGACGAGUCGAGUUGUUUGGGAAUGCAGCUCUAAAUGGGUGGUAAAUUUCAUCUAAAGCUAAAUACUGGCCGGAGACCGAUAGCGCACAAGUAGAGUGAUCGAAAGAUGAAAAGCACUUUGAAAAGAGAGUUAAAAAGCACGUGAAAUUGUUGAAAGGGAAGCGCUUGCGACCAGACUCGCCCGCGGGGUUCAGCCGGCAUUCGUGCCGGUGUACUUCCCCGCGGGCGGGCCAGCGUCGGUUUGGGCGGCCGGUCAAAGGCCUCCGGAAUGUAGUGCCCCUACGGGGGCACCUUAUAGCCGGGGGUGCAAUGCGGCCAGCCUGGACCGAGGAACGCGCUUCGGCACGGACGCUGGCAUAAUGGUUGCAAACGACC